RNAcentral lists this long non-coding RNA (499 nucleotides) under Brassica napus (rape). Its description in RNAcentral is "long non-coding RNA (BNAP_LNC007888)". The record is from RNAcentral. Lineage: Eukaryota; Viridiplantae; Streptophyta; Magnoliopsida; Brassicales; Brassicaceae.
CAUCAAAAUACUAAUUACAAGAUGCGAUAACAAAAGGGAAAGGACACAUAUAAUGAAUAAGAAACAAUGAAGAUAUCGCGUUUCGAUUGACUUUAGUGGUAGGAGAAAAUCAUAUCUAGCCACAUCCACCUCGGUUUUUACUAACUCUAUUUUGUGCCUAUGUCCCGUGGACUACAAAUGCAUCUCCCUAGUCUUUACUGAAGGCCUAUUUAUUUUGUUUGUUGUAAGUAAUAGUAUCUAUAGAAAAAGAUAGAAAGCUUAAAAACUGUGAGACCAUUUAAAAGGUAAAUUAAGUAAAUCUAAAAUAUUUUGUUCUUUUAUUUUACUAUAAAACAAAAGUAAUAGAAGUUAAAUUCUUUAAAAGUGUAAUUUUUAUGAAUUAUUUGGGGUCCACAUUUUUAUUUUAUUAUUGGACCCGAAUUCUCCAAACCGGCACUAGAUCCGUUAGCUUUUAGUUGAAUCUCUUUUUUUUGCUAGAUAGAUUAAUGAGGCAAGCUCG